GUCUGGGCUGGUUUGUACUGAUUUCUGCUGGUCUGUACUGGUAGCGAGAUGGCGAACUGCAGGACCUACAUGAGAGGACUGGUGAUCAGCUUCAACCUGCUGCUGCUGCUGUUUGGGAUUCUGAUGAUCGUUGUGGGAUUCUCAUCGGGCUACGGCAACAAACACCUCAUCUUGAUACAGCUGGAUGAGUACUCCAGUACCCAGAGCCUGCUGGUUCUUAGGGGUUUCGGACCGGUUACCGUGGUGAUCGCCAUGCUGGGACUCAGCGCCUCGGCGACACGGACCAGGACCCUACUACUGGUGUACUCUGCCCUGGUCUUCGUGGUGUUCCUGGCCCUCAUGAUCGUGUCAGCUCCUCUCAUCCAGGUCCAGACCCAGAUCGAGCGGGGGAUGGAGGAGUUGUUCUUGAACGUGACUCCUCUCUACAGAGCGGAGGCGGAGCUCCAGCGGCCCCUGGAGGAACUGCAGCUGACGGACUCCUGCUGUGGUCUGAAGAGGGCUUCUGAUUGGAAGGAUCAGAUUCCUCCUUCCUGUUUCUGUUCCCCUCCCUACCCCUCGUCUCCCCCCUACACCCACAUGAGCUCCUCCUCUCGUCCUCUAGGCAACAGUACAGUUCUGGCUCCUUGUGUGUCCGUCAGAAGGUCACAAGCCCCCGUGACCCCCCGUGACCCUGUGACCCCCCGUGACCCUGUGACCCCCCGUGACCCUGGCACCUCCCGGUACACUGUCACCUCUGCAACUUCAGAGGAGCUGUGGGUCCACUCCAAGAUGGCUGCUAUGCUCCUGUCUCUAGCUCUGGCUCUGGAGAGGUUCUGGACCCACUGGAAAACACCGGUGGUGGAGACCACCGUGGACGACUUCAACAGAGUCAAAUACCAGCCUCAACCCUCCCUCACCUGACCCUUGACCUCUCAGCCUCAACCCUCCCUCACCUGACCCUUGACCCCUGACCUCUCAGCCUCAACCCUCCCUCACCUGACCACUGACCCCUGACCUCUCAGCGUCAACCCUCCCUCACCUGACCCCUGACCUCUCAGCCUCAACCCUCCCUCACUCGACCCCUGACCCUUGAACUCUCAGCCUCACUCCUCCCUCCCCUGACCCCUGACCUUCACCAUGUUAAACACUACUUCCUGGUUCUCUGGUGUGUUUCCUGCUGCUGUUUUGUGGUCGACAGGAAUCAAAGCUCUGUGUUUGUCUCUGAUUUGGGGCCUGUCAGCAAUAAAAUAACCCUCGAGAAACCACCGUGUGAUACACUGUCUUUCAUUUAAGUGCGAUGCUGAAACCAGUGAGAUGUUCCUCUGAAUAUACCGACAAUCUCCUCUUCUGUUGAUGGGGGUUCAGAAGGACCACCAUGACAGACCUUCCUCAGUGGUCCUGAGCUGCCCAGCAGGGGGUGCUGUGAUCCACAGUCCGGGUCCUGAUAAACCAGGCUGGAGCUCCAGGUUCGAGAUGUUUAUUCAGAGUUCAGGAGGAGCCAGAGGUUCGGUUCGGUCUCAUUUGCUUAUGUGGCGACACGAGGAGGCUUUACUAAUUUAUAUCAGAGUAUCUUCUCUUUGUUACCGACAACGCCACC
RNAcentral lists this long non-coding RNA (1576 nucleotides) under Gadus morhua (Atlantic cod). RNAcentral describes it as "lncRNA (ENSGMOG00000037185.1)". The record is from RNAcentral. Lineage: Eukaryota; Metazoa; Chordata; Actinopteri; Gadiformes; Gadidae.